GACGUUGUUGGGGUCCGCAGGGAUGCCUCCGUCACGCCUCUCAAUGUACCGCGCCACGUCCUCCCGAAUCAGCUGGAUGCCGGAGCUGACGCUGUAGGCUCCUGGACUCGGGCAGGACAGGAUGGGAAGUACAGAUGCCUGGAGCAAAGGGGAAGGGAGGGGGCUCAUGGACCCUCCCUGCUCAGAGCUCCCCCUGCUCUACGUCCCUCUGUGUUAAAGGUAAAGGCCCUACCUGUGCUCAGGUACCCUCUCCUCCCAAGCCACCUGCUUCCCUCCUUAGCAGUUCUGCCCUCCUCACUGACCAAGACA
RNAcentral lists this small RNA (309 nucleotides) under Pan troglodytes (chimpanzee). Its description in RNAcentral is "retained intron". The record is from RNAcentral. Lineage: Eukaryota; Metazoa; Chordata; Mammalia; Primates; Hominidae.